UACCUACGGGGCGCAGCAGUGGGGGAUAUUGGACAAUGGGGGGAACCCUGAUCCAGCGACGCCGCGUGCGGGAUGAAGGCUUUCGGGUUGUAAACCGCUUUCAGCAGGGAAGAUAAUGACGGUACCUGCAGAAGAAGCCCCGGCUAACUACGUGCCAGCAGCCGCGGUAAUACGUAGGGGGCAAGCGUUAUCCGGAUUCAUUGGGCGUAAAGCGCGCGCAGGCGGGCCGCUAAGCGGGACCUCUAAUCUUGGG
RNAcentral lists this ribosomal RNA (253 nucleotides) under uncultured bacterium. Its description in RNAcentral is "partial 16S ribosomal RNA". It matches the Rfam family "Bacterial small subunit ribosomal RNA", at positions 335 to 606 of the family's 1533-position model. The record is from RNAcentral.